AACGAACGCUGGCGGCAGGCCUAACACAUGCAAGUCGAACGCUCGUAGCAAUACGGGAGUGGCAGACGGGUGAGUAACACGUGGGAACGUACCCUUCGGUUCGGGAUAACUCAGGGAAACUUGAGCUAAUACCGGAUACGUCCGAGAGGAGAAAGGUUUACUGCCGAAGGAUCGGCCCGCGUCUGAUUAGCUAGUUGGUGAGGUAACGGCUCACCAAGGCGACGAUCAGUAGCUGGUCUGAGAGGAUGAUCAGCCACAUUGGGACUGAGACACGGCCCAAACUCCUACGGGUGGCAG
Molecule: ribosomal RNA, 297 nt
Filed under: uncultured Pseudomonadota bacterium
Lineage: Bacteria; Pseudomonadati; Pseudomonadota
Description: uncultured proteobacterium partial 16S ribosomal RNA
Rfam family: Bacterial small subunit ribosomal RNA
Source: RNAcentral